RNAcentral lists this ribosomal RNA (439 nucleotides) under uncultured bacterium. RNAcentral's name for it is "bacterial SSU rRNA". It matches the Rfam family "Bacterial small subunit ribosomal RNA", at positions 340 to 773 of the family's 1533-position model. The record is from RNAcentral.
UACGGGACGCAGCAGUGGGGAAUAUUGCACAAUGGGCGCAAGCCUGAUGCAGCCAUGCCGCGUGUAUGAAGAAGGCCUUCGGGUUGUAAAGUACUUUCAGUCGUGAGGAAGGUGUUAAGGUUAAUAACCUUAGCAAUUGACGUUAGCGACAGAAGAAGCACCGGCUAACUCCGUGCCAGCAGCCGCGGUAAUACGGAGGGUGCGAGCGUUAAUCGGAAUUACUGGGCGUAAAGGGCACGCAGGCGGUUAAUUAAGUUGGAUGUGAAAUCCCCGGGCUUAACCUGGGAAUGGCAUUCAAGACUGGUUAGCUAGAGUCUUGUAGAGGGGGUAGAAUUCCAUGUGUAGCGGUGAAAUGCGUAGAGAUGUGGAGGAAUACCGGUGGCGAAGGCGGCCCCUGGACAAAGGCUGACGCUCAUGUGCGAAAGCGUGGGGAGCAAAC